UCUCCGUAGGUGAACCUGCGGAGGGAUCAUAACAGAGUUCAUGCCCUACCGGGUAGAUCUCCCACCCUAUGUUAUUAUUACUUUGUUGCUUUGGUGGGCCGUUAGGCUCCGGCCCGACUACCGGCCCCGGCUGGUAAGCGCCCGCCAGAGGACCCAAAACCCUGAAUAUUAGUGUCGUCUGAGUACUAUAUAAUAGUUAAAACUUUCAACAACGGAUCUCUUGGUUCUG
This 229-nucleotide unclassified non-coding RNA is filed under the name plant metagenome. Its description in RNAcentral is "partial contains small subunit ribosomal RNA, internal transcribed spacer 1, and 5.8S ribosomal RNA". The record is from RNAcentral.